RNAcentral lists this non-coding RNA (117 nucleotides) under Gorilla gorilla gorilla (western lowland gorilla). Lineage: Eukaryota; Metazoa; Chordata; Mammalia; Primates; Hominidae. The record is from Rfam by way of RNAcentral.
GCCAGGCAUGGUGGCUCAUGCCUGUAAUCCCAGUACUUUGGGAGGCUGAGGUGGGUGGAUCACCUGAGGUCGGGAGUUCGAGACCAGCCUGACCAACAUGGAGAAACCCCAUCUCUA